AGUGAACGCUGGCGGUAGGCCUAACACAUGCAAGUCGAACGGCUGCACAGGAGAGCUUGCUCUCUGGGUGGCGAGUGGCGGACGGGUGAGGAAUACAUCGGAAUCUACUCUGUCGUGGGGGAUAACGUAGGGAAACUUACGCUAAUACCGCAUACGACCUACGGGUGAAAGCAGGGGACCUUCGGGCCUUGCGCGAUUGAAUGAGCCGAUGUCGGAUUAGCUAGUUGGCGGGGUAAAGGCCCACCAAGGCGACGAUCCGUAGCUGGUCUGAGAGGGUGAUCGGCCACACUGGAGCUGAGACACGGUCCAGACUCCUACGGGAGGCAGCAGUGGGGAAUAUUGGACAAUGGGCGCAAGCCUGAUCCAGCCAUACCGCGUGGGUGAAGAAGGCCUUCGGGUUGUAAAGCCCUUUUGUUGGGAAAGAAAUCCAGCUGGCUAAUACCCGGUUGGGAUGACGGUACCCAAAGAAUAAGCACCGGCUAACUUCGUGCCAGCCGCCGCCGUAA
This 506-nucleotide ribosomal RNA is filed under the name uncultured bacterium. RNAcentral describes it as "partial 16S ribosomal RNA". It matches the Rfam family "Bacterial small subunit ribosomal RNA", at positions 29 to 523 of the family's 1533-position model. The record is from RNAcentral.